RNAcentral lists this non-coding RNA (21 nucleotides) under Arabidopsis thaliana (thale cress). The record is from RNAcentral. Lineage: Eukaryota; Viridiplantae; Streptophyta; Magnoliopsida; Brassicales; Brassicaceae.
UUGGUGGAGCGAUUUGUCUGG